GGCUAUUAAACGAAUCAGACGACGCAUCAGAAGAACACGAAGCAUUCAUCGACAGAUUGAGAAUCGCUUGGUGGCGGUCCUGUUGUCUCAAAACCGAUGGAACUGUAACGCAUUGAGGCGGCGACAAUGGCACCCUUUUGUCCUUUGAUUCAACUUCUUGACGAGGCUUUUCAAGUUUCUUCAAUGGCUUCACACCAGGUUUUCUAGUCUCUACUGUACGCGCUUUGUUCCCUGUAGGCCCAAGU
This 245-nucleotide unclassified non-coding RNA is filed under the name Hevea brasiliensis (rubber tree). Lineage: Eukaryota; Viridiplantae; Streptophyta; Magnoliopsida; Malpighiales; Euphorbiaceae. The record is from RNAcentral.